Long non-coding RNA from Myotis davidii, 1025 nucleotides. RefSeq lists it as uncharacterized. Lineage: Eukaryota; Metazoa; Chordata; Mammalia; Chiroptera; Vespertilionidae. The transcript has 4 exons. The record is from RefSeq and is a predicted model, not a curated record.
CUGCCUGUUCUUGGCCAAGCAGUCGGCUCAGCUCGCUCGGCCGAGACCAGGUGCCGCGGAGGGAGGAGCAACGCCGUGCGUCCUCCCGGCGACGUGCCUACGUAGCCAAUCGGCGGCCGCGCAGCCGUCCGAGUGAAAAAAAGUACCCGUGGUCUCAGCGCAAGCGAUCUACGCAUGACGGAAGUGACGGCAAGCUCUACGCAUGACGGAAGUGACGGAAGGGACAAUCUUGGAAGGGGCGCGACACGAGCGCGAGGCGGCGCUGUGGAGACUGGAGAAUGGCGUUUGCAGGGAAAGCUGAGGUUGGACUGGAGCGUCGCCCCGUUCGCCGCAGCUAGUCCAUUCGAGCAGCGGGGUAGAACACGACCCUGCCUUUCCCGAGGCGUUCUUUCUAGCCCAGACGUGGCUCCCCGGGAGCCUCACGCUGCCUCUCAUUACUUAGCCCCUGCUCGUUUUCUCCUUAACUCUGUAUGUUCGUAGCACCUUGUUCAGGUUGCUAACUCUUGUCGGUAAUAACUUAGUGUCUCACCUUGCCCAGCACCCUCUUUUGGCAAGUGAGCCCGAGUCCCAAAGAGGAGAAAUGAUUCUCUAAGGCUGCGGAGCAAGUUAGAACCAGCUGAGGACGCCUCACGGGGUUGAAGUGGAAAAGUACUUGUUGAGGCUCCCGGGUGGUCUGCAGCACCAGAGGCAAACUGACCCCUCUCAGAGAGUAUUGGAAGGCUAGCCCAUGGUCAGAUACAAAGAAGGGAGGAGGAAGCCACUGAAAGGACUUCACUUUCCUGGUUUGCAUCUUAAGCAAGAUCACUCUGGCUCCUGUUUGGAGGACUGGAUCAGAGUGAGACUAACGACUGUGAAAGUUAUUCAGAGAAUGGAAGGGAGGAGGAGAGACAAAGAGAGAAAAACAUCGAUGUGAGAGAGACACAUCAAUUUGUUGCCUCUCACAAGUGCCCCAACAGGGGUGGGAACCGAGCGUGCAUCCGGGUAUGUGCCCUUGACCAGAAUCAAACCCACGACCAUGCAGUCUG